This 795-nucleotide long non-coding RNA is filed under the name Heterocephalus glaber (naked mole-rat). RNAcentral's name for it is "lncRNA (ENSHGLG00100050252.1)". Lineage: Eukaryota; Metazoa; Chordata; Mammalia; Rodentia; Bathyergidae. The record is from RNAcentral.
GCCGCCUGUCACGCUCUCCUCACCUGGGACCUUAUCUUGCUUUUGGUUACGGAAUAGGAGGCCUGAGUGUAGAGCGGUUUUCGCCUUUGUUUCCCUCUCAUACUUUCCCCUCCCAUGGCGCCUAAAAAGCUACUGCUGAUACUGCGGAGCUAGUUAGUAUCGGCUCUAUGAUGUGCGUUCUUCCAGUAGGAGAUUUUCCGAGGGAGCGAGGGUAAAGGGAGACCCAAAAUAGGAUCUCAUACCACCUGGUUCCACACCACAAAGACACAGAGGACACCGGACCACCAGACCACUGUACUGGAGGCAGCUUUUGAACCAACCACAAGGAUUUUAGACAAAACAGGAACAAACCAAAAGAGAUCAUCUUAUAACUUGGAGCAAGGAUGGACCUCAACAUGGUUCCCAGCUUUGAAUUUUCAUGCCUGAGGAAUCAUAACAGCCUCACAUCUCUUCUCCACCUCUUCUCCUCUCAUCUCUUCAUCACCACUCUCUCCUGUACUGCUGUGUCCUGACACUCGAGGACAGUUCUGGAAUUGAAGGUGCCCCUGCUACUGGUUAUGUCCAAAGCCAUCCUCUGGGUGAAUAAGCCUCAGAGGCCUCCUUGUGGGAAGACAGCAUCAAGCUGCAAGACUCCUGCGACUCCCAUGUCCACUGAUGCCCACAGCCUUUCAGACUCCAGAAGGAACCCCUGAUCCUGGGCCUUAUGUUUAUCUUCAUCUUAUUGCUAGAUACCUUUUAAAAUGUAAAAAUAAUUAAAUAAAAUAUAUGAUGUCCAUAGUUUGAGGACCAAAAUAA